This 428-nucleotide ribosomal RNA is filed under the name Acinetobacter sp. RNAcentral describes it as "partial 16S ribosomal RNA". It matches the Rfam family "Bacterial small subunit ribosomal RNA", at positions 355 to 774 of the family's 1533-position model. RNAcentral also lists the same sequence under 2 other names. The record is from RNAcentral. Lineage: Bacteria; Pseudomonadati; Pseudomonadota; Gammaproteobacteria; Moraxellales; Moraxellaceae.
UGGGGAAUAUUGGACAAUGGGCGGAAGCCUGAUCCAGCCAUGCCGCGUGUGUGAAGAAGGCCUUAUGGUUGUAAAGCACUUUAAGCGAGGAGGAGGCUACUUUAGUUAAUACCUAGAGAUAGUGGACGUUACUCGCAGAAUAAGCACCGGCUAACUCUGUGCCAGCAGCCGCGGUAAUACAGAGGGUGCAAGCGUUAAUCGGAUUUACUGGGCGUAAAGCGCGCGUAGGCGGCUAAUUAAGUCAAAUGUGAAAUCCCCGAGCUUAACUUGGGAAUUGCAUUCGAUACUGGUUAGCUAGAGUGUGGGAGAGGAUGGUAGAAUUCCAGGUGUAGCGGUGAAAUGCGUAGAGAUCUGGAGGAAUACCGAUGGCGAAGGCAGCCAUCUGGCCUAACACUGACGCUGAGGUGCGAAAGCAUGGGGAGCAAACA